Molecule: long non-coding RNA, 447 nt
Organism: Gopherus flavomarginatus (Mexican gopher tortoise)
Lineage: Eukaryota; Metazoa; Chordata; Testudines; Testudinidae
Exons: 3
Source: RefSeq, a predicted model, not a curated record
CGAGAGCAAACCGCGGCGAAGCUGGUCUCCUUCCCCGGUUUGCUCUCGCGUUCCCCGAACCCCCGUGCAAGCAGGUCUCCUUCCCUGCGGUUUGCUCUCGCGUUCCCCGAACCCCCGUGCAAGCAGGUCUCCUUCCCUGCGGUUUGCUCUCGCGUUCCCCGAACCCCCGAGCAAGCAGGUCUCCUUCCCUGCGGUUUGCUCUCGCGUUCCCCGAACCCCCGGGCAAGCAGGUCUCCUUCCCUGCGGUUUGCAGGGGGGUUCGGGGAACGCGAGAGCAAACCGCGGCGAAGCUGGUCUCCUUCCCCGGUUUGCUCUCGCGUUCCCCGAACCCCCGUGCAAGCAGGUCUCCUUCCCUGCGGUUUGCAGGGGGGUUCGGGGAACGCGAGAGCAAACCGCGGCGAAGCUGGUCUCCUUCCCCGGUUUGCUCUCACGUUCCCCGAACCCCCG